RNAcentral lists this ribosomal RNA (468 nucleotides) under uncultured bacterium. RNAcentral's name for it is "partial 16S ribosomal RNA". It matches the Rfam family "Bacterial small subunit ribosomal RNA", at positions 28 to 507 of the family's 1533-position model. The record is from RNAcentral.
GACGAACGCUGGCGGCGUGCCUAACACAUGCAAGUCGAACGGAAAGGCCCUGCUUUUGUGGGGUGCUCGAGUGGCGAACGGGUGAGUAACACGUGAGUAACCUGCACUUGACUUUGGGAUAACUUCAGGAAACUGGGGCUAAUACCGGAUAGGAGCUCCUGCUGCAUGGUGGGGGUUGGAAAGUUUCGGCGGUUGGGGAUGGAUUCGCGGCUUAUCAGCUUGUUGGUGGGGUAGUGGCUUACCAAGGCUUUGACGGGUAGCCGGCCUGGGAGGGUGACCGGCCACAUUGGGACUGAGAUACGGCCCAGAAUCCUACGGGAGGCAGCGGUGGGGAGUAUGACGCAAUGGGCGGGAGCCUGAUGCAGCAACGCCGCGUGCGGGAUGACGGGUUUCGGGUUGUGAACCGCUUUGGCCGGAGACGAGGCGAGAGUGACGGUAAUGGGUAAAGAAGCCCCGGCUAACUACGUG